This 501-nucleotide long non-coding RNA is filed under the name Hordeum vulgare. Its description in RNAcentral is "long non-coding RNA (HVUL_LNC016227)". The record is from RNAcentral. Lineage: Eukaryota; Viridiplantae; Streptophyta; Magnoliopsida; Poales; Poaceae.
UUAAUUAUGGAGAGCAUCAGCCACUUGCUAUAUUUUUUUCCUCAACCAGAGAGCAAAAUCAUUAACCACAUGUACAUGGAUCAAUGAUAGAGUACAUCAUCUAAGAAAUAAUAAUGAUACAGUGCAGCUAGCAUCAGCACAUCAUCAGCCACGCACUGAACUAGGCGUAGUACUACUAGAAAACAAAUAUGAUUCUUAACAUCAAUUAUUCAACUCCCACAAAAAACAAGAUCAAUUAUUCAACUCCCGCAAAAAAACAACACCAAGUGUAUUCAACUAAAGUAUGGAAAAAUUAUUCCACACAGCUCAAGCACUUCCACAACCACAAGCAUCAGAGCCAAGUGAUAACCAGCCGGCCUUCCAGUGCCAGGGCUCACACGCUACCCAGUUUACUUUGAACAGCUUCCAAAUUCAGAUGAAAACCACAGUCCAUGGUUCACAAAUAAUAGUGCGCCGGUGGAGCCAGAAGAAUGGAAAAAGAACAGCAAAUGUAUCCAUCAG